This 253-nucleotide ribosomal RNA is filed under the name uncultured bacterium. RNAcentral describes it as "partial 16S ribosomal RNA". It matches the Rfam family "Bacterial small subunit ribosomal RNA", at positions 524 to 776 of the family's 1533-position model. The record is from RNAcentral.
GACGAACCGUGCAACCGUUAUUCGGAAUCACUGGGCAUAAAGGGCGCGUAGGCGGCUUCCUAAGUCAGGGGUGAAAUCCGGCAGCUCAACUGUCGCAGUGCCUUUGAUACUGGGAAGCUCGAGGGAUGUAGGGGUCUGUGGAACUUCCGGUGGAGCGGUGAAAUGCGUUGAUAUCGGAAGGAACGCCGGUGGCGAAAGCGACGGACUGGACAUCUUCUGACGCUGAGGCGCGAAAGCCAGGGGAGCAAACGGG